UUGAACGCUGGCGGCAUGCCUUACACAUGCAAGUCGAACGGCAGCGCGGGAGCAAUCCUGGCGGCGAGUGGCGAACGGGUGAGUAAUACAUCGGAACGUGCCCAAUCGUGGGGGAUAACGCAGCGAAAGCUGUGCUAAUACCGCAUACGAUCUACGGAUGAAAGCAGGGGAUCGCAAGACCUUGCGCGAAUGGAGCGGCCGAUGGCAGAUUAGGUAGUUGGUGGGGUAAAGGCUCACCAAGCCUUCGAUCUGUAGCUG
Molecule: ribosomal RNA, 258 nt
Filed under: Variovorax sp. ISO106_OTU223
Lineage: Bacteria; Pseudomonadati; Pseudomonadota; Betaproteobacteria; Burkholderiales; Comamonadaceae
Description: partial 16S ribosomal RNA
Rfam family: Bacterial small subunit ribosomal RNA
Source: RNAcentral